Molecule: ribosomal RNA, 279 nt
Filed under: uncultured bacterium
Lineage: Bacteria
Description: partial 16S ribosomal RNA
Rfam family: Bacterial small subunit ribosomal RNA
Source: RNAcentral
UUUAUCGCCAUUGGAGCGGCCCGCGUUGGAUUAGCUAGUUGGUGGGGUAAUGGCCCACCAAGGCGACGAUCCAUAGCUGGUCUGAGAGGAUGAUCAGCCACACUGGGACUGAGACACGGCCCAGACUCCUACGGGAGGCAGCAGUAGGGAAUCUUGCGCAAUGGGCGAAAGCCUGACGCAGCCAUGCCGCGUGAAUGAUGAAGGUCUUAGGAUUGUAAAAUUCUUUCACCGGGGACGAUAAUGACGGUACCCGGAGAAGAAGCCCCGGCUAACUUCGUG